GGCCUACAACGAGUGGUGGAGCAUGUGGUUUAAUUCGAUGCAACACGAAGAACCUUACCAGGGUUUGAAAUCAUUUCAAAACUCCUUGAAAGAGGAGCCUCCUUCGGGAUGAAAUGACAGGUGGUGCAUGGCUGUCGUCAGCUCGUGUUGUGAAAUGUCGAGUUAAGUCUCGUAACGAGCGCAACCCAUGUCUCUUGUUGCUCACUGAGUGCUUAAGAGAGACUGCCGACCAACAUCGGAGGAAGGUGUGGAUGAUGUCAAGUCAGCAUGCCCCUUACAUCCUGGGCUACACACGUACUACAAUGGUAAGGACAAUGAGCUGCGAUCCUGCGAAGGCUAGCCAAUCUCAAAAACCUUAUCUCAGUUCGGAUUGCACUCUGCAACUCGAGUGCAUGAAGGUGGAAUCGCUAGUAA
This 414-nucleotide ribosomal RNA is filed under the name uncultured bacterium. Its description in RNAcentral is "bacterial SSU rRNA". It matches the Rfam family "Bacterial small subunit ribosomal RNA", at positions 925 to 1341 of the family's 1533-position model. The record is from RNAcentral.